UUCAGAGAGAGGCUGGCGGCGGCUCGGCGACAAGUGCUGCAUCCAGGAUGGGGCAGUGGUGAUGGAGUAGCACCCUUGGAUGAUUUUUAUUUGAAUUUUGUUCAUGUAUGGAGGAUUGUGUUGAUGAAUGAAUUUUGUUCAUGUAUGGAGGAUUGUGUUGGAUUUUGUUGGA
Molecule: long non-coding RNA, 172 nt
Organism: Oryza sativa Japonica Group (Japanese rice)
Lineage: Eukaryota; Viridiplantae; Streptophyta; Magnoliopsida; Poales; Poaceae
Source: RefSeq, a predicted model, not a curated record